This is a long non-coding RNA of Oreochromis aureus, 602 nucleotides long. RefSeq lists it as uncharacterized. NCBI's taxonomy places the organism in Eukaryota, Metazoa, Chordata, Actinopteri, Cichliformes, Cichlidae. The record is from RefSeq and is a predicted model, not a curated record. The transcript is spliced from 3 exons.
GCUUGAUCCCUGCCGAGUGAAAGAGAUCUUUGGUUUUGCCUUUGCUGACUGCUGAUCUGAUCGUCUCAAGUCUGGUAAGUAAAGGUUUGUCUGAGGUGCAGUGCUGGGAAAUGUUUCUCAUUAUAGGAGAUUCAGUUUAGUGCUGUGAGUCAGCACAGUUCUUGGCAAUCAUCAAAUAAUAGAAAAGUCUAUGUAAACAUUUCCAGACUUACAGAUCUCUCUUAUCAUCAUACUACAUUUUUAAUUAGGCCCUUAUAUCGGCCAUGCUAAGUUUAUUGUAGAUUUAGCGGGGUGUGUAUUAAACAUGCCCCAUAUUUGACUGAAAUAUGUAGAAACUGCUGUAUAGGAGUCAUCUGUCUCCAAAUUUUUCAUUUUGCCAAAAGUCAUACUAAGUAAAUUAUUUUUUACUUUUGUGUUAACGGCUCCCCAGACAUUAUGAUAUACUGUUGUACCAGGUAACUACACACAGAAAUGGGAAUUUGAGACCUUUGGGCAUUUAGGAACAUGUGAUGUGUCAUAAGUUUGAGUUGAGUGCAUGUGAAGUGUUUAAAGCAGGUGGUCUGAAACUGUCUGCUCUAACUUCAUUGUGUGGGUUUAGCUUG